Molecule: ribosomal RNA, 478 nt
Filed under: uncultured bacterium
Lineage: Bacteria
Description: bacterial SSU rRNA
Rfam family: Bacterial small subunit ribosomal RNA
Source: RNAcentral
GACGAACGCUGGCGGCGUGCCUAACACAUGCAAGUCGAACGGAACUGCUUCGAAGGAUUUCUUCGGAAUGACAUUGAUUCAGUUUAGUGGCGGACGGGUGAGUAACGCGUGAGUAACCUGCCUUCAAGAGGGGGAUAACAUUCUGAAAAGAAUGCUAAUACCGCAUGACAUAUGAUUGUCGCAUGGCAGACAUAGCAAAGAUUUAUCGCUUGAAGAUGGACUCGCGUCCGAUUAGUUAGUUGGUGAGGUAACGGCCCACCAAGACCGCGAUCGGUAGCCGGACUGAGAGGUUGAACGGCCACAUUGGGACUGAGACACGGCCCAGACUCCUACGGGAGGCAGCAGUGGGGGAUAUUGCGCAAUGGGGGCAACCCUGACGCAGCAACGCCGCGUGAAGGAUGAAGGUUUUCGGAUUGUAAACUUCUUUUAUUAAGGACGAAUAAUGACGGUACUUAAUGAAUAAGCUCCGGCUAACUAC